GGGAGCGAUCGGUCUCGGCGCUUAGCGCGAUUACUUGCAUCGUCUCCGGCCAUCCUUGGGGAGAGUCUGUCUGGCAUUAAGUUGUCGGGCAGAGGAUCCUCAUCGUUUACUGUGAAAAAAUUAGAGUGUUCAAAGCAGGCUUAUGCCGUUGAAUAUAUUAGCAUGGAAUAAUAAGAUAGGACUUUGGUACUAUUUUGUUGGUUUGCGCACCAAAGUAAUGAUUAAUAGGGACAGUUGGGGGUAUUCGUAUUCCGUUGUCAGAGGUGAAAUUCUUGGAUUUACGGAAGACGAACUACUGCGAAAGCAUUUACCAAGGAUGUUUUCAUUAAUCAAGAACGAAAGUUAGGGGAUCGAAGAUGAUCAGAUACCAUCGUAGUCUUAACCAUAAACUAUGCCGACUCGGGAUUGGCGGGCGUUUCUUUUUUGACCCCGUCAGCACCGUAUGUGAAAACAAAGUCUUUGGG
Molecule: ribosomal RNA, 464 nt
Filed under: uncultured eukaryote
Lineage: Eukaryota
Description: SSU rRNA
Rfam family: Eukaryotic small subunit ribosomal RNA
Source: RNAcentral